Molecule: RNA transcript, 3984 nt
Organism: Passer domesticus (house sparrow)
Lineage: Eukaryota; Metazoa; Chordata; Aves; Passeriformes; Passeridae
Gene: MICU3
Gene name: mitochondrial calcium uptake family member 3
Exons: 16
Source: RefSeq, a predicted model, not a curated record
GCGCUGGGGCGGAGCGGGGCUAUGGCCGCCCUGCGCUCCCUGCUGCGCUGGCGCCGCCGCCUGGGGCCCGCGCCCGGCGCUCCGCCGGCCCGGCGGCUGUGGGGCGGCGGCGGGGCCGGGCCGGCGGGGCCGCGGCGGUGGCGGCGGGAGCUGGGCUGGGCGGCGGCGGGGGCGGCUCUCGCCGGGUUCGCGGGGUACCGGCUGUCCGAGCGGCGGCGGGAGCCCUCCCGGGAGCCGGCAGCCGCCGAGCCGGGCGGGGCCCGGGCGCUGCUCCCCAUCCCCGUGGCGGCCGCUGCCAAGGAGACGGUGACGGUUACAGACAACAGAUCAGACUUCGAAGAUUUACACCUUUAUGCAACUCCGCGGGAGCAACGGUUUCGUAGGUUUGCCAGUCUAGAAUUUGAAGGACAGCUGUACAUGACUCCACACGACUUCAUCCAGGCUGUUACAAGUGAUGAACCCAAACAUGCUAAAAAGUGGCGAUCCCUUUCAAAGCAGGAGCUGAAUCAGAUCCUUAUGGAGACACCACCAGUUUGGAAAGGAUCAUCCAAACUUUUCCGUAAUCUUAAUGAGAAAGGUGUGAUAUCUUACACAGAAUAUUUAUUCCUCUUAUGUAUUUUAACAAAACCACAUGCAGGUUUUCGAAUUGCUUUCAACAUGUUCGAUACUGAUGGCAAUGAAAUGGUGGACAAAAAGGAAUUCUUAGUGCUCCAAGAGAUCUUCAGGAAAAAAAAUGAGAAGAGAGAAAAAAGAGGAGAUGAAGAAAAACGUGCAAUGCUGCGUCUUCAACUUUAUGGAUAUCAUACUCCUACUAACAGUGUUCUUAAAACAGAAGGAGAGGACCUUGUCCCCAGAAGCUAUUGGGAUACUUUGAGACGUAGCACAAGCCAAGCACUCUUUUCAGACCUUGCGGAGCGUGCUGAUGAUAUUACAAGUUCACUGUCAGAUACAACACUGCUUGUACACUUUUUUGGCAAGAAAGGAAAAGCAGAACUGAACUUCGAAGAUUUUUAUAGAUUUAUGGAUAACCUGCAAACUGAGGUUCUAGAGAUAGAAUUCCUUUCUUAUUCUAAUGGGAUGAAUACCAUCAGUGAGGAAGACUUUGCCCACAUUCUCUUGAGGUAUACAAAUGUGGAAAAUACAUCAAGUUACCUGGAAAACAUGCGUGGCAGUAUUCCUGAAGAAAAGGGUAUCACAUUUGAAGAAUUUAGAUCAUUUUUUCAAUUCUUGAACAAUCUAGAGGACUUCACAAUUGCAAUGCAAAUGUAUAAUUUUGCAAGUCGUUCCAUAGGUCAAGAUGAAUUCAAGCGUGCUGUGUAUGUAGCCACAGGUGUGAAGCUCUCACCUCAUUUGGUGAACACAGUGUUCAAGAUUUUCGAUGUCGACCGAGAUGACCAGCUGAGUUAUAAAGAAUUUAUCGGCAUUAUGAAAGACAGACUCAAUCGAGGGUUUAGGGGCUACAAACCUAUACAGAGGUAUACUACUUUCAAAUCCUGCGUGAGGAAGGAGCUGUAUAGCAGAUAAAUGACGGUGAACUUUUUAGUACAGUGUCAAUACAAAGAAGCAAGGAACAAAACUAGAGAGGGAGCUGGACAUACCUGAAUAAAGAGGAAAUACUUUGCUGCAUCUUUUAAUAUAAAUAGGGUAUUUGUUGAAUGCUAAUUGUGUGCUGUGAGGAGACUCCGAAGUAUGGUUGGAAUGAAUAUUACUCUUGUGUGAUGACUGUAACCAGUGAGCAUCUCAGAGAUCUAUGGAAGCAAUUUCGGAGACGAGAUAUGCUGAGAUAAAGGAAGAAAGCAGGAUUUUCUGCACUGGCUAAAAUUAUUUAUUCCCAUGAAUUCUUAAUGAAGAACAAACUAACCCAGGUGAAUGGUGAAUCUUCCAGCUGCAGUAGAAAACACAGGACUUCUUUUCCACUUAGUAUAGUGAUCAUCAACUCUUAAAACUGCUUUUCAGUAUGUAUUCUAUUUAAUUGAUGAACUAACUAUGCCAUGUGAGUGGGAGAAGCCUUCUUUUGUAAGAGCACCUUUUGAAUAUUAUUUUUUAUUAUUUUGAGAUAAAUUUGUCAUUUAAAAGGAAACAAAAAUAAGUCUUACACCUGGGCAGGAAGAUGUUUGGCAGUGAAGAGAAACUGCCUGCAUCAGUUUAGACUGUGAAUUCACUUUCAGAUGAGCACUAUUAAAAGUUUGUGCUAAACUGAAAAUGAGACUACGUUAAGUAGCAUAACAAUUACAUAUGAGUUGAAUGGACAAAUUAAACUCUUAGAGGGUGUUAUUUUACAAGGAGUAAAGCUGUUAUGGUCAUAAUGUGAAUGAUAGGUAUUUACCUAGGAAAAGUACUGUAUGAACUACAAUGUUCAGAUUCUUCAAGUCUUAUUAUUAUGUUUAUGAAUUUAUCCUUUAAAAAAUAGUACAGAUUUUAAAAUGUCUUACAAGCAGUGUGUCAAAGAAAAGUCAAAAUGUUCAAAUUCAUGUAGCACACACUUUGUAAUAUUUAUUAUAAAUUUUAUUGCCAUACACUGGUAUGUUUCUGGUAGAGUACAAAUUCAUGUGUUUCUUGUGAAUAGUGCACUUUUAUAUGAAGUGGCACUGAGAAGAAAUUAUAGUUGUCUAAUUUGCUACUCUGGAAUGCCGUAUCUGAAAACUAGAUAAAUAGCUUGUGUUUGUGUCAAACAAAAAAAAAAAAAAAACAAAAAAAAAAAAAAAAAAAAAAAAACCACAACAAAAAAAAACCCCAUGAAUGCAUGCACAAUACAGAACAACACUAAGUAAUAUUAUUUGAAUAUUACUUGUUUGCUAUUCAGCAACAGCAUAUUUCCUUACUCCCUAUUAACAUUAUUGUUACGUAGUAGGAAUUAAAUCAAGAACACAUAUUUUUUACACCCUUCUUGAAAAGAUUUACUGGAUAAUGAAUAAAUCUGUAUCUGUUUCGGAAAAGACUGUGCCAUGAAAUAAUUCCAGCUGAAUACGCACACACUUGAACUAAUGUCAAUAAAUUGUCAUCAGAAGCAGAAAUAUUUGGUAAUCAGACAAUCAAAACAGAACUAAAAUAAUGUUUUUAGAUAUCUUACUACUCCAAAUCAUGAAAUAAAACUUUCUACAAUUUUAUUCAGUGCACAUGUUACCAUCUUAAAUAUCAUGUGAAUAGAUGUAUGGUGUCUGUGUAACAGUGCACCUAAGUUUUGAAAUGCUUAAUUUAUCGUAACAUAUAUUUCUGGUAGAAAAUUCAAAACAAAAUGAGAAGGAAGCUUUUUGUAAGAAAUUCCACACUGGGAAUUGUAGAAAAGAUAUGUGCUAAAUGUGGCUUUUAUCUGGAAAAAAAAAAAAAAAAAAAAAAAAAAACAGGCCAGUUCAGAAAACUAUCAAAGGAUGAUACUUCAGUUAAUAUUCGUGAUAAAUAAAUUCAAAAUUUCCAUCUUGGUGUCCUUAAACUAUUGACAGAAAGAAAUAAAUGAAAUAAAUUGAGAUAAAGGUUCUUGGAUUGACACAGCAGAACACAGAUGAGCUGCAGUCCCUGUGUGAUCCUUUAGGGAAUCAGCGGUAUUCAAUGUAUCGUCUCGGUACGCAAAACUGUCUCACUGCUUCUUGUCGGCAUAUGGAAAACCCAGUUUGCUACUUCAGUGGUGAAGGACAAAGAGGAGAGAAGAAAACACUGGGAGUCACAGAAGGGGUUCCCAUCCUUCCUUUUCAUUCAUGACUGCCACUCACAGUGACCUCCCCUUGGAGGAAGCAGCUGUACCAUCAUCAUUUUGCUGCUCCACUGCCCUAGGCAAUAGUGCACUUUGCUUUUAUGGCUGGCUUGAAGCACUUUUAGCAUUUUUCUAUAUAUUUCCUAUCUAUAGUUACUUAAUAUAAAAUAGAAUGUGAAAGUGUCAGAUUAGUUUUUAAGACUAUUUUUUCUUCAUGUUUAAUAAUAUUUAAUAUAAAUAUGAAUAUAUACAUAUAAUAUUCUUGUUUAUUUCAAAAUAAAUGCACUUCAAACUAA